RNAcentral lists this transfer RNA (72 nucleotides) under Ovis aries (sheep). It matches the Rfam family "tRNA". From Rfam's summary of the family: Transfer RNA (tRNA) molecules are approximately 80 nucleotides in length. Their secondary structure includes four short double-helical elements and three loops (D, anti-codon, and T loops). Further hydrogen bonds mediate the characteristic L-shaped molecular structure. tRNAs have two regions of fundamental functional importance: the anti-codon, which is responsible for specific mRNA codon recognition, and the 3' end, to which the tRNAs corresponding amino acid is attached (by aminoacyl-tRNA synthetases). tRNAs cope with the degeneracy of the genetic code in two manners: having more than one tRNA (with a specific anti-codon) for a particular amino acid; and 'wobble' base-pairing, i.e. permitting non-standard base-pairing at the 3rd anti-codon position. The record is from Rfam by way of RNAcentral. Lineage: Eukaryota; Metazoa; Chordata; Mammalia; Artiodactyla; Bovidae.
UCCCUGCUGACUCAAAUGGUAAAGAAUCCACCUGCAAUGUGGGAGACCCGGGUUCAAUCCCUGGGUCAGGAA